GGCCUAACACAUGCAAGUCGAGCGGUAACAGAUCCAGCUUGCUGGAUGCUGACGAGCGGCGGACGGGUGAGUAAUGCAUAGGAAUCUGCCCGAUAGUGGGGGAUAACCUGGGGAAACCCAGGCUAAUACCGCAUACGUCCUACGGGAGAAAGGGGGCUCCGGCUCCCGCUAUGGGAUGAGCCUAUGUCGGAUUAGCUAGUUGGUGAGGUAACGGCUCACCAAGGCCACGAUCCGUAGCUGGUCUGAGAGGAUGAUCAGCCACAUCGGGACUGAGACACGGCCCGAACUCCUACGGGAGGCAGCAGUGGGGAAUAUUGGACAAUGGGGGAAACCCUGAUCCAGCCAUGCCGCGUGUGUGAAGAAGGCCCUCGGGUUGUAAAGCACUUUCAGCGAGGAAGAACGCCUAGCGGUUAAUACCCGCUAGGAAAGACAUCACUCGCAGAAGAAGCACCGGCUAACUCCGUGCCAGCAGCCGCGGUAAUACGGAGGGUGCAAGCGUUAAUCGGAAUUACUGGGCGUAAAGCGCGCGUAGGUGGCUUGAUAAGCCGGUUGUGAAAGCCCCGGGCUCAACCUGGGAACGGCAUCCGGAACUGUCAAGCUAGAGUGCAGGAGAGGAAGGUAGAAUUCCCGGUGUAGCGGUGAAAUGCGUAGAGAUCGGGAGGAAUACCAGUGGCGAAGGCGGCCUUCUGGACUGACACUGACACUGAGGUGCGAAAGCGUGGGUAGCAAACAGGAUUAGAUACCCUGGUAGUCCACGCCGUAAACGAUGUCGACCAGCCGUUGGGUGCCUAGCGCACUUUGUGGCGAAGUUAACGCGAUAAGUCGACCGCCUGGGGAGUACGGCCGCAAGGUUAAAACUCAAAUGAAUUGACGGGGGCCCGCACAAGCGGUGGAGCAUGUGGUUUAAUUCGA
This 912-nucleotide ribosomal RNA is filed under the name Halomonas sp. K2-28L-057. RNAcentral's name for it is "bacterial SSU rRNA". It matches the Rfam family "Bacterial small subunit ribosomal RNA", at positions 45 to 954 of the family's 1533-position model. The record is from RNAcentral. Lineage: Bacteria; Pseudomonadati; Pseudomonadota; Gammaproteobacteria; Oceanospirillales; Halomonadaceae.